GAUGGUCAUCUUGCUAGGUUUCGGAGCCCUGUGGGCCUCUUCGCUGCUCGUCCUCGUCACCCUCUCUGCACCAGCAUCUCGCUUCCUUCUUGCUUCCAGUCAGGAUGGGAGGCUUCUAUUUAGGAGGCGCUCAUGGUACUAGGUCUCCAUAGACCUAGCCGUUUCAGAAUGGGAACAAGGGAACCAUUGGCUUCAGUCUUUCGUAAGAAUUGCCUUUGUGGAGCGCAUCUUGGAAGAGGUGGAGGCGUGCGGAUCGAGCCGGAUGGGGUGGCCACCGUGGCACGCGGGCGAAGGAGGAGCUCAAGGAGCAUGUCCCAGAAGAGGGCGUCAGCGGUGGCACGCCAAUCGACUCCACCGCAUCCUGGGCCUCGAGAUCUUCUCCGGCAAGACCAGGGGAGCUUCCAUGGCAAGAAACAUGGUCAAUGACUCCAGGGUGACGUGGAGCUCCAGGCCAAGGUAACGAGCAAAUUCUUCUUCGAGGUUGAGAUCGGCGGGAAGCGCGUGGGCAAGGUGGUCAUCGGGCUCUUCGGCGAGGUCGUCCCAAAGAUGAUUGACAACUUCCGUGCCCUGUGCACUGGAGAAAAAGGGGAUGUAUACAAGGGUUGCUUCUUCCACCGAAUCAUCAAAGGAUUUCAUGAUUCAGGGUGGGGAUUUUGCAGGAAAACAAUGUCUGAAGAGCAUUAGUGGCCUCUGUUCAGCUUUUUCUCUUCAUCUAUUCGGCAGCCGCUGUUGGUGGACAACGGCGGCCUGAGGUGGUGCAUGGUGGGUCCUGCCAAGUCACGGACACGAUAUCUCCCACGCAGGUGACUAGCGGCUGGGCAACGCCGCGGCCAUUGAGCCGAAGGUGGCUGAGCGCCAGAGCUCCCAGCUUAGGAAGACGACGCGACAGGAUGGCGCAGCACCACGGCCUUCAGCACCCUUGCCGUUAGCAGCCUGCCCCUGUCAUAAGUCCUUUCGUGACCUGUUGGUUCUUCUGUUCCAGGACGAGAUGGUCAUCUUGCUAGGUUUCGGUGCCCUGUGGGCCUCUUCGCCGCUCGUCCUUGUCACCCUCUCUGCACCAGCAUCUCGCUUCCUUCUUGCUUCCAGUCAGGAUGGGAGGCUUCUAUUUAGGAGGCGCUCAUGGUACUAGGUCUCCAUAGACCUGGCCGUUUCAGAAUGGGAACAAGGUAAUAACGCUCCUUAUGAAAAAAAACACAUAAUAUUGCUUUGGUUCUGUUAUAGCCACAUUUGUGUUAUGGCCAAAACAUACCAUUUCUUUGUUACAAGUAAGCUUCAUUUCCACCAUAAAAAACUACUUGUUUGGUAUGAAAAUGAAACCAUGAGCAGUAUAUCUCUCGAUGGGUGAAAUUUGGCAAAUGUAGCAAUUUCCUUGGUCGUGCAAAAUUUGUUCUUGGUGCUUGUGUAAUGAUGUUUAUUAAACUAUGGGAAAGAUAAGUACAACAUUGCAUUUUUAAAUAAAUGAUCAUGUAAAUAUCAAUAGCGGUGAAUUAAUGGCAAUCUGUUCUUUUACUUUAUUUAUCAAAACAGUCCAGUUCUAAGCUCGCUUCUACAUUAUAUGUAUAUUUAUACUUUUGUAUUAGAAACGAGAUUGGUUCUUUAGUUGAAGCCACAACAACUACUAAGACACCAAUAUUAGAUUGUACUAGCAUUUUCUUACCAUAUAUAGCUAAACAAAGAACUGGAUGCAGGAACCUUUAGCUUCAGUCUUUAGUAAGGUAUAAAAGGAGUUGAGCUGUCAUCAUACCGACCACACUCUUUUUAUGGUAGAGGGAAACCUUGUUGUUUUUCGUUACUCAAUUUCUAACUUAAUUAGCUGGAUUUAGAAUUGUUUGUUCAUCUAGCUAGGAGCAUAGUUUGCACUGCGCAUCGUUCAUGGUUUUGUGACUCAUGUUAUUUGGAUUGCAGUUGUCAAGGAGAUCCAUUUCCCCUUAUUUUGAGGCAAUUUAUUUUUGUGUGUGCUUUUAAUUGUUAUUUUAGUCAUCUGUUGUACCGUCUACUUAUGUAUACCCGCUUGACAAAACUGUAUGUUAUGUUCUGCAUUGCUAUUGCUGCCAUUGACUUCCACCUGUACCUAAGGGGCAAAACUGAAGAUCAAAUUAAGGCCGGUCAAUGAGGAUAAACCUUUUAUUCUUCGUGAUGUAAUAUUUUGAACUAUUUGUUUUGUGAUACUCAUAUGUACUACAUGGAUUUAUUGAACCAUCAUUAGAAAAAUCCUCCUAGAUCUA
This is a long non-coding RNA of Lolium rigidum, 2225 nucleotides long. RefSeq lists it as uncharacterized. The record is from RefSeq and is a predicted model, not a curated record. The transcript has 7 exons. Lineage: Eukaryota; Viridiplantae; Streptophyta; Magnoliopsida; Poales; Poaceae.